CCUACGGGUGGCUGCAGUGGGGAAUAUUGGACAAUGGGGGGAACCCUGAUCCAGCCAUGCCGCGUGUGUGAAGAAGGCCCUCGGGUUGUAAAGCACUUUCAGUGAGGAAGAACGCCUGGUGGUUAAUACCCAUCAGGAAAGACAUCACUCACAGAAGAAGCACCGGCUAACUCCGUGCCAGCAGCCGCGGUAAUACGGAGGGUGCGAGCGUUAAUCGGAAUUACUGGGCGUAAAGCGCGCGUAGGUGGCUUGAUAAGCCGGUUGUGAAAGCCCCGAGCUCAACCUGGGAACGGCAUCCGGAACUGUCAAGCUAGAGUGCAGGAGAGGAAGGUAGAAUUCCCGGUGUAGCGGUGAAAUGCGUAGAGAUCGGGAGGAAUACCAGUGGCGAAGGCGGCCUUCUGGACUGACACUGACACUGAGGUGCGAAAGCGUGGGUAGCAAACAGGAUUAGAUACCCGUGUAGUC
This 465-nucleotide ribosomal RNA is filed under the name Vreelandella stevensii. Its description in RNAcentral is "partial 16S ribosomal RNA". It matches the Rfam family "Bacterial small subunit ribosomal RNA", at positions 338 to 795 of the family's 1533-position model. The record is from RNAcentral. Lineage: Bacteria; Pseudomonadati; Pseudomonadota; Gammaproteobacteria; Oceanospirillales; Halomonadaceae.